Molecule: ribosomal RNA, 460 nt
Filed under: uncultured bacterium
Lineage: Bacteria
Description: partial 16S ribosomal RNA
Rfam family: Bacterial small subunit ribosomal RNA
Source: RNAcentral
CCUACGGGUGGCAGCAGUGAGGAAUAUUGGUCAAUGGACGAGAGUCUGAACCAGCCAAGUAGCGUGAAGGAUGACUGCCCUAUGGGUUGUAAACUUCUUUUAUAUGGGAAUAAAAUGUUCCACGUGUGGGAUUUUGUAUGUACCAUAUGAAUAAGGAUCGGCUAACUCCGUGCCAGCAGCCGCGGUAAUACGGAGGAUCCGAGCGUUAUCCGGAUUUAUUGGGUUUAAAGGGAGCGUAGGUGGAUUGUUAAGUCAGUUGUGAAAGUUUGCGGCUCAACCGUAAAAUUGCAGUUGAAACUGGCAGUCUUGAGUACAGUAGAGGUGGGCGGAAUUCGUGGUGUAGCGGUGAAAUGCUUAGAUAUCACGAAGAACUCGGAUUGCGAAGGCAGUUCACUGGACUGCAACUGACACUGAGGCUCGAAAGUGUGGGUAUCAAACAGGAUUAGAUACCCUAGUAGUC